This 317-nucleotide ribosomal RNA is filed under the name uncultured Chloroflexota bacterium. Its description in RNAcentral is "bacterial SSU rRNA". It matches the Rfam family "Bacterial small subunit ribosomal RNA", at positions 28 to 351 of the family's 1533-position model. The record is from RNAcentral. Lineage: Bacteria; Bacillati; Chloroflexota.
GAUGAACGCUGGCGGCGUGCCUAAUACAUGCAAGUCGAACGGACGACUUCGGUCGUUAGUGGCGAACGGGUGAGUAACGCGUUGGUGACCUGCCCCGGAGCGUGGGAUAACAGACCGAAAGGUUUGCUAAGACCGCAUACGGUCGUGGAGUUUAGAAAUCCACGAAGAAAGGAAGAAAUUCCGCUCUGGGAGGGGCCUGCGACCCAUCAGCUAGUUGGUAAGGUAACGGCCUACCAAGGCGAUGACGGGUAGGGGACCUGAGAGGGUGGCCCCCCACAAUGGAACUGAAACACGGUCCAUACACCUACGGGUGGCAG